CACCAAGAAGCUAUUUUAGCACUAACCUUUUAAGUUAGAGAUUGAGAGCAAAACACUCUCCUUGAUGAC
Molecule: transfer RNA, 69 nt
Filed under: Moschus chrysogaster (alpine musk deer)
Lineage: Eukaryota; Metazoa; Chordata; Mammalia; Artiodactyla; Moschidae
Description: tRNA-Lys
Source: RNAcentral